RNAcentral lists this ribosomal RNA (473 nucleotides) under Pseudomonas aeruginosa. RNAcentral's name for it is "bacterial SSU rRNA". It matches the Rfam family "Bacterial small subunit ribosomal RNA", at positions 45 to 513 of the family's 1533-position model. Lineage: Bacteria; Pseudomonadati; Pseudomonadota; Gammaproteobacteria; Pseudomonadales; Pseudomonadaceae. The record is from RNAcentral.
GGCCUAACACAUGCAAGUCGAGCGGAUGAAGGGAGCUUGCUCCUGGAUUCAGCGGCGGACGGGUGAGUAAUGCCUAGGAAUCUGCCUGGUAGUGGGGGAUAACGUCCGGAAACGGGCGCUAAUACCGCAUACGUCCUGAGGGAGAAAGUGGGGGAUCUUCGGACCUCACGCUAUCAGAUGAGCCUAGGUCGGAUUAGCUAGUUGGUGGGGUAAAGGCCUACCAAGGCGACGAUCCGUAACUGGUCUGAGAGGAUGAUCAGUCACACUGGAACUGAGACACGGUCCAGACUCCUACGGGAGGCAGCAGUGGGGAAUAUUGGACAAUGGGCGAAAGCCUGAUCCAGCCAUGCCGCGUGUGUGAAGAAGGUCUUCGGAUUGUAAAGCACUUUAAGUUGGGAGGAAGGGCAGUAAGUUAAUACCUUGCUGUUUUGACGUUACCAACAGAAUAAGCACCGGCUAACUUCGUGCCAGCA